This 763-nucleotide ribosomal RNA is filed under the name uncultured Streptococcus sp. RNAcentral describes it as "bacterial SSU rRNA". It matches the Rfam family "Bacterial small subunit ribosomal RNA", at positions 28 to 776 of the family's 1533-position model. The record is from RNAcentral. Lineage: Bacteria; Bacillati; Bacillota; Bacilli; Lactobacillales; Streptococcaceae.
GACGAACGCUGGCGGCGUGCCUAAUACAUGCAAGUAGAACGCUGAAGGAGGAGCUUGCUUCUCUGGAUGAGUUGCGAACGGGUGAGUAACGCGUAGGUAACCUGCCUGGUAGCGGGGGAUAACUAUUGGAAACGAUAGCUAAUACCGCAUAACAGUAGAUGUUGCAUGACAUUUGCUUAAAAGGUGCAAUUGCAUCACUACCAGAUGGACCUGCGUUGUAUUAGCUAGUUGGUGGGGUAACGGCUCACCAAGGCGACGAUACAUAGCCGACCUGAGAGGGUGAUCGGCCACACUGGGACUGAGACACGGCCCAGACUCCUACGGGAGGCAGCAGUAGGGAAUCUUCGGCAAUGGACGGAAGUCUGACCGAGCAACGCCGCGUGAGUGAAGAAGGUUUUCGGAUCGUAAAGCUCUGUUGUAAGAGAAGAACGAGUGUGAGAGUGGAAAGUUCACACUGUGACGGUAUCUUACCAGAAAGGGACGGCUAACUACGUGCCAGCAGCCGCGGUAAUACGUAGGUCCUGAGCGUUGUCCGGAUUUAUUGGGCGUAAAGCGAGCGCAGGCGGUUAGAUAAGUCUGAAGUUAAAGGCUGUGGCUUAACCAUAGUACGCUUUGGAAACUGUUUAACUUGAGUGCAAGAGGGGAGAGUGGAAUUCCAUGUGUAGCGGUGAAAUGCGUAGAUAUAUGGAGGAACACCGGUGGCGAAAGCGGCUCUCUGGCUUGUAACUGACGCUGAGGCUCGAAAGCGUGGGGAGCAAACAGG